GUGUCAGCCGCCGCGGUAAUACGGAGGGGGUUAGCGUUGUUCGGAAUUACUGGGCGUAAAGCGCGCGUAGGCGGAUUGGAAAGUUGGGGGUGAAAUCCCGGGGCUCAACCCCGGAACUGCCUCCAAAACUUCCAGUCUGGAGUUCGAGAGAGGUGAGUGGAAUUCCGAGUGUAGAGGUGAAAUUCGUAGAUAUUCGGAGGAACACCAGUGGCGAAGGCGGCUCACUGGCUCGAUACUGACGCUGAGGUGCGAAAGUGUGGGGAGCAAACAGGAUUAGAUACCCUGGUAGUCCACACCGUAAACGAUGAAUGCCAGUCGUCGGCAAGCAUGCUUGUCGGUGACACACCUAACGGAUUAAGCAUUCCGCCUGGGGAGUACGGCCGCAAGGUUAAAACUCAAAUGAAUUGACGGGG
This 413-nucleotide ribosomal RNA is filed under the name uncultured prokaryote. RNAcentral's name for it is "bacterial SSU rRNA". It matches the Rfam family "Bacterial small subunit ribosomal RNA", at positions 505 to 918 of the family's 1533-position model. The record is from RNAcentral.